AUUGAACGCUGGCGGCAUGCCUUACACAUGCAAGUCGAACGGCAGCACGGGUGCUUGCACCUGAUGGCGAGUAGCGAACGGGAGAGUAAUAUAUCGGAACGUACCUUAUUGUGGGGGAUAACGCAGCGAAAGCUGUGCUAAUACCGCAUAAUCCGUAAGGGGGAAAGCGGGGGACCGUAAGGCCUCACGCCAUUAGAGCGGCCAAUACCUGAUUAGCUAGUUGGUGAGGGAAAGGCUCACCAAGGCAACGAUCAGUGGCUGGACUGAGCGGACAUUAAGCCACACUGGGACUGAGACACGGCCCAGACUCCUACGGGAGGCAGCAGUGGGGAAGUUUGGACAAUGGGGGCAACCCUGAUCCAGCAAUGCCGCGUGAGUGAAGAAGGCCUUCGGGUUGUAAAGCUCUUUUGUCAGGGAAGAAACAGCAGCUCUAACACAGUUUGCGAAUGACGGUACCUGAAGAAUAAGCACCGGCUAACUACGUGCCAGCCGCCGCCGUAA
RNAcentral lists this ribosomal RNA (501 nucleotides) under uncultured bacterium. Its description in RNAcentral is "partial 16S ribosomal RNA". It matches the Rfam family "Bacterial small subunit ribosomal RNA", at positions 30 to 523 of the family's 1533-position model. The record is from RNAcentral.